UAAGGGCGCACGGUGGAUGCCUUGGCACUAGAAGCCGAUGAAGGACGUUACUAACGACGAUAUGCUUUGGGGAGCUGUAAGUAAGCUUUGAUCCAGAGAUUUCCGAAUGGGGAAACCCAGCAUGAGUUAUGUCAUGUUAUCGAUAUGUGAAUACAUAGCAUAUCAGAAGGCACACCCGGAGAACUGAAACAUCUUAGUACCCGGAGGAAGAGAAAGAAAAUUCGAUUCCCUUAGUAGCGGCGAGCGAAACGGGAAGAGCCCAAACCAACAAGCUUGCUUGUUGGGGUUGUAGGACACUCUAUACGGAGUUACAAAGGACGACAUUAGACGAAUCAUCUGGAAAGAUGAAUCAAAGAAGGUAAUAAUCCUGUAGUCGAAAAUGUUGUCUCUCUUGAGUGGAUCCUGAGUACGACGGAGCACGUGAAAUUCCGUCGGAAUCUGGGAGGACCAUCUCCUAAGGCUAAAUACUCUCUAGUGACCGAUAGUGAACCAGUACCGUGAGGGAAAGGUGAAAAGCACCCCGGAAGGGGAGUGAAAUAGAACCUGAAACCGUGUGCUUACAAGUAGUCAGAGCCCGUUAAUGGGUGAUGGCGUGCCUUUUGUAGAAUGAACCGGCGAGUUACGAUUUGAUGCAAGGUUAAGCAGUAAAUGUGGAGCCGUAGCGAAAGCGAGUCUGAAUAGGGCGUUUAGUAUUUGGUCGUAGACCCGAAACCAGGUGAUCUACCCUUGGUCAGGUUGAAGUUCAGGUAACACUGAAUGGAGGACCGAACCGACUUACGUUGAAAAGUGAGCGGAUGAACUGAGGGUAGCGGAGAAAUUCCAAUCGAACCUGGAGAUAGCUGGUUCUCUCCGAAAUAGCUUUAGGGCUAGCCUCAAGUGAUGAUUAUUGGAGGUAGAGCACUGUUUGGACGAGGGGCCCCUCUCGGGUUACCGAAUUCAGACAAACUCCGAAUGCCAAUUAAUUUAACUUGGGAGUCAGAACAUGGGUGAUAAGGUCCGUGUUCGAAAGGGAAACAGCCCAGACCACCAGCUAAGGUCCCAAAAUAUAUGUUAAGUGGAAAAGGAUGUGGCGUUGCCCAGACAACUAGGAUGUUGGCUUAGAAGCAGCCAUCAUUUAAAGAGUGCGUAAUAGCUCACUAGUCGAGUGACACUGCGCCGAAAAUGUACCGGGGCUAAACA
Molecule: ribosomal RNA, 1179 nt
Filed under: Staphylococcus aureus
Lineage: Bacteria; Bacillati; Bacillota; Bacilli; Caryophanales; Staphylococcaceae
Description: partial 23S ribosomal RNA
Rfam family: Bacterial large subunit ribosomal RNA
Source: RNAcentral